UCCCUGUAUUCAUCCCCUUUGCAAAGUGACCUUGCAUAUUCUUCCAUCAAGAGGUUGUCAUACUUUGUCUAAAACAAAAGGAUUAUACUGCCCAGCAUUCUUCACUGUCAGGAUGGCCAAUGGGAUGAAAUGAGAAUUUACUUGGUGAGAUUCCUAAAAAUGGAAUUUAAAAGAGGAAGGAACUCAGCUUGCAUAUGCCUUUCACCCUUCAGUGUUCA
RNAcentral lists this long non-coding RNA (218 nucleotides) under Homo sapiens (human). Its description in RNAcentral is "non-protein coding LINC01708:27". The record is from RNAcentral. Lineage: Eukaryota; Metazoa; Chordata; Mammalia; Primates; Hominidae.